UACAGAGGUCUCAAGCGUUGUUCGGAUUCAUUGGGCGUAAAGGGUGCGUAGGCGGCGCGGUAAGUCGGGUGUGAAAUCUCGGGGCUUAACUCCGAAACUGCAUUCGAUACUGCCGUGCUUGAGGACUGGAGAGGAGACUGGAAUUUACGGUGUAGCGGUGAAAUGCGUAGAGAUCGGGAGGAACAUCAGUUGCGAAGGCGGCUCUCUGGACCAGCACUGACACUGAGGCACGAAAGCGUGGGGAGCAAACAGG
This 253-nucleotide ribosomal RNA is filed under the name uncultured bacterium. Its description in RNAcentral is "partial 16S ribosomal RNA". It matches the Rfam family "Bacterial small subunit ribosomal RNA", at positions 524 to 776 of the family's 1533-position model. The record is from RNAcentral.